This 225-nucleotide ribosomal RNA is filed under the name uncultured bacterium. Its description in RNAcentral is "partial 16S ribosomal RNA". It matches the Rfam family "Bacterial small subunit ribosomal RNA", at positions 95 to 334 of the family's 1533-position model. The record is from RNAcentral.
UAGGCGCACGGGUGAGUAACACGUGAAUUAUCUACCUCCGAGUGGGGAAUAACUGAGAGAAAUCUUAGCUAAUACCGCAUAACACUUACGAGUCAAAGCAGCAAUGCGCUUGGAGAGGAGUUCGCGGCCGAUUAGUUAGUUGGCGGGGUAAUGGCCCACCAAGACGAUGAUCGGUAUCCGGCCUGAGAGGGCGCACGGACACACUGGAACUGAAACACGGUCCAG